RNAcentral lists this unclassified non-coding RNA (244 nucleotides) under Hevea brasiliensis (rubber tree). Lineage: Eukaryota; Viridiplantae; Streptophyta; Magnoliopsida; Malpighiales; Euphorbiaceae. The record is from RNAcentral.
UUGACAAUGUCAAAUUGCCAAAUCUAUUUACUAUAAUCCAGCAAUCAUAAUUGCUAAACUAAAUUGCAGAAUAUUGAUCAACUUUUUUGAAUUACAAUCAAACUUCAACUAGAAUCAAUUUGAAGUGCAUGAUCCAAUGACUUAGGCAUCUAGUUGACACCAACCACAAAAUUUGAAAAACAUGAAAAUUACUAAAAGUACAGUAACACAAUGAUUCGAGGAAAAAACAGGCAAGUUCCAAAGG